GCUUGCUACUAGAUAUCCUCGCCCGGCGCUGCUGCUGCCUGCCUCCUCUCCUCUUCGUAGGCGCUCUGCCUCGAACUCUUUCUCUUCCAAGUCCCAUCUAUGGAGAAGCCACAAAUUUUUUGUUCCUCUUCAAUUUCUAAAUCCCCCAAACUGAAUCCAAAGUACGGAGUACUUGAUUUUCUUAGUUUGCUUUUUACAGGUAUUAGGCCCAGACGUACUUCCGCUUGGACGGCAAGGUAGAUGCGGGUUGGAAUUGCGGUCCAUGUCGAUGUCAACCAGAUGUUGGCCAGGGCAAGCCGACGUGGUCACGGACAUCCGCGUCGAGCACCGGCUGCCAUGGUAGCAAAGGGGAGUAGUAGUAGCGCUAGAGGAGAAGAAUUGUGGAGGAGCGCAGGCGAGGGGGGCGGUGGGUAGAGGUGGAGCACGCUCUGCAUCGAUGGCUGAUGCAGCUGCGACGCCGCGAGGACCGUGGACCCGUCUACCUGAUCUAUUACCCGGGUGAGCUCUCCCCUUUCUCAUCUCGGACGAGCUUCUUCGUGACCGGCAGCCUUGCCCUGGGAUCAGUCUUCCUCCGACAUCGUCGCCGCGCCAGCGCACUCCGACACAAGCGGCCUCGGCACCGAAAGAGGAACACGCGAUGCCCGCGGCCAUGGACCGCCUCGCGUCGAGAGCCCGGUGGAGGAGCAGGAGGAGGGGGCAAGAAGAACAACAACAUGGCUAGCGGACGAGGUCUCGAUCGACACUAUCAAGCCCUUCCCGGAAAGCUUCUUCAACAUCGAUCAGAAGGGGUGCCGGAAGGCCGGCAUCAGCGCAGGUACGAUCUCCUCUGUUUCUGGCAUUAUCUCUCGGGCUUAUCUGCACUAUGGUAGAGGUCCGCGUGCAGGUCCAACAAAAUCGCCGAGGGAAGGGCCUUAGCCAUCUGUUGAUGCUGGGCACAUCUCCACCAAAUUUAGAGAGAUGUCAGUAGCCAGUAAUGCAAUGGUAUCGCUGAUGCUUGCCAAAGUUGUGACUCCGCCUCCUACUUGCACCAACAGAGCGUACGUUUUUCCAUGGUGAGAUUUCUAUUCAUUAUUAUUUUUUCCUAGGUUAAGGUUAUUCCAGACGCCACGUUUUCUCCCUAACUACUGCUAUGUAGGGUCAAGACUAUAAUUCAGACAAACCAUGAACUGACUAUUCGUGACUACUUGGAGGAGCAAGGUAAUGCUAAGACAGCUAAGUUCAUAUAUCUACAGAUAGCAUCUGCAACCAUUGAGUGCUUAAGCUACCCACAUGAGUUGAUGUGUCUUCAGAAAACACUAUAAUGGUAGUAAAGCUAUAUUACCUGUACUUUUCAUCAGUAGCUGGUUUCAUAUUAUGCUAUGGUCAGUAGUUUCACUUGUGCAUCUCAUGUAUGUACAUGUCGUUACAUCUAGAACAUAUGGAUUUGGUUUGAUAUGAUGUUGCUACCUACUUAAUGCUGACUAUUCAUGCUAUUCUUUUUUGACUGAUCGAUGGUUACCGUUCAUUUACCUAAUAAUACAGACAGUGCAGUGCUUAGUUUGUAUCUGUUAUGCAAUAACCUGAACUUUUAUGUGGCAUAACAGUGUUCUGUUUUCCCUUUGAUGGAGCUGAGUUAUGUUCUGUGGACUUUGCUAUAAGCUGGCAGCCGUGUAUUGAAUAGUAGUGUAUUACUUUUAUGCUACCUGUGAACAAUGUUGUUCUUUGUGCUUUUAAUGUGUAUAAGCCUUAGCAAAUAAAAUGCCACUGCCCUCUACAUUUUGAUCCUGUUUGAUUAGAAAUUUUCACGGUUCUGAAUUUAUCCAACUGCGCAGUUAUAUGAAUAAGGGGGCAGUCAGUAUUACACAUCUAUUCAAUUUAUUGCUAAUUAUCUCAGUUAUUCUAUACAUAAUAUUCCAGAGCAUGUUUACCUAACAUAUGCGAUGAUAAGUGAUGUUGACCAAGAGGACGCCUGCGUGUCCACAAUCUGCAGCAGUAGAUUUGCAUUGCCAUCACCCGCUGCGUCGCCUACUGUCUCUUCUUGGUGGAGCCGAGUACCGGCGCUUCACCUACGCCAUCAAGGUCGCUGUCCCAGCGGCCUGUACAACCAUGCUCUCCAUAUAAAUUCUCUCCAUCUGCAACAGAUCCCCUCCACACCCGUCAUUAUCACCCUCCCAAUCUUGCCUACUCACUAUUGACAUCUCCUAUAGUACCCAGAAUAAUGGAGAAGACGAAGGAACAUAGCGAUUGAUCAGAACAAGAUGGUUGGAAGAAGCUCUAUCACCUCACAUCGCCUCCAUUUGCGACAGAAAAUGAUUUCAACAGAGAAAGCACUGGAACAACAUAAAGAAGAGUAGAAAAAAUGAUAGGAGAAACAUUUUUUGAGUGGUGAUGAAAAAAUAGAUGUAAGCCAGUGUUGUACUUGAUCUGAAUCUAUGAACUCAACCCACUAACCGGCCGGUUACAACUAAGUAUGAGGCCCAUCAAGUUCGCCCAGUUUUUUCUACUAUUUUGUGCGACCAUUUUUUUCCUUUGUAAACCUAGAGUACCCUCUCUCUGGCUCCUUAUUGUCCUGAUCUCACCUAUUCUUGCAGCUCCCACGGCGCAGGAUCUGAAACUGGUCUAUGUUCCAAUUCUAGGGAGGCCUCUACUGCUACUCUUCUCCCUGGUUCGCCCCCUUUCUUUGUUUUGUCCUUUCUUUUGUCCUUUUAUUUCAGCAUGUAGAAGUCUUAAGUCGAUGUGGAAUUUAUAUUUAACUAUAUACACCAAAAAAUACACCAUCAAGGGCGCACGGUGCUUCUUUCUUCAAGCAUUACUCUAUUAAUUCAUCCUUAGUUAUUGAAUAUACAGUGCACCUCAAAAGGAUUUGAAUGUAUGAUGUGGGUUUCACCAGAACCUUUCAGAGUUGAGGAUGGCUACUGUUGUUAUUUCCAUAGGACACUUCACUUCCUGCUAUAUAUCAGUUUCUCAUUGAAAUUUGAUAUACCCAGAUGCUUUACCAACUUCCAUGGUUCUAUUUGUUAAAUAUGUUAGAGCAAAGAUCUUAAGAAGGGCAGAGCAUGGUCCAUACUUGAAUAGUAUACGCAUGUUGUAGGCAGUGUACAAUACAAUUAUAUGUUGUUAUCAAUCAGAGUUUCUAAUGAAGAAUUCUAAACACUUGGUUUUGUGGUUUUGUUGAAAGCAGUGUCCAAGGCAAUGAUAUGCUCUUAUCCCUCCUCAAAUUUGUUAUUGAAGAGUUCUAAGUGCUGUGAUGGGGUGCAAUAUAGCAUACCAUCAGAUUCUUGGUGCUCUACCUCUAUGCUUGCAUCUGCAUCCGUAUAAAAAUUGACUUUAUUUUCAGUAAAGCCUGCAGAGAAUAGAUAGACAGAGGAAAUACUUUUUAAUUAGAAAGACACAUCUAUCUAACCUUAUAACAGAAAUGGAAUGCCAACUUAGGACUCUUUGAUUCUGCCAAGUUUGUAUUCUACGAGAAUUGUCACCUUUCCUUCUUAAAGCCUUCGCAUCUGUUUUCAGGUUUUCUAUUUUAUCUUAGCUAUAGUUAACAUGAGAAAAACACACGAGAAAAUUAAAAUACUUGCAUCUUAAUUUUCUAUCUUUUUUUUAUAUGACGCUAAGUGUGAUGUGCAUUGUUUUAUGCUCAAGUUUUCAUGUUCUCUGCUUAGAUGACAAAUGUGUAUUUUAGUGUAUCCCAGAUAAUGUUCUUUCUUGUGUUCUGCACAAUACACUCCGCCACCAUCUCAGACGAGCCUAUAUUUUUUUUAUAUAGAUACCAACUUUUACACGAGGCUAUUCUUUUUUUUAUAGAUAGAAACCAAGCAGGUGGAGCUCAUGGCGAAGUGUCAGAAGAAAAGGCGCGCAUCAACUGCGCCAUUGAAGAGUCGAUCAAGUCGACCCAAUCUAUUGCCACCACAAAGGCAGCUCCUCCGUCUAAGGGAAGGAGGUAAUCUGCUCUCCUCCAAAUAUGAAGACGACGAACAUGAUGCUGAUGCUUACCAAGACAAAUAAUGUACCAGGAAAAUUAUCUUAGCGUGUCAUCCCAUUGUCCUCCUCUAGACCUCCAGCUGGCCAAUUGUGCGUUGUGUUCUGGGUUUAGCACAAUCCAUGGCCUCCAAUGUACCAGUUCUUAUGUUUUCUAACAUGGCGAGCUUUGCAAUCAAGUCUAGAAACUCGUGCUUGAAAUGUAUGACUUCUUAAGUUUCUUAACAUGGCGAACUGUACAAUCUAAUAAGUGUGGAAAUUGUUGCGUGAUAUAUGGGAUAACUGAUAGUUUGGUUUCUUUACGUGUGAUAGUUUGGUUUCUACACUUGUGAGUUCCAGUAGGUUUAUAUUUUUAAAAAUGUACUUUUAAAAAUGUCCUACCUAGCAUUGGACUUCACAUGUAUUUAUUUUCUUCUAUUUCUCAUUCCCAGUUCUUAACUGUUGUUCCGAGAUAUUUAGCCUUCACUUGUGUGCGCACACCUGUCAGCUUGGAAUUCCGAAAUUGACCGUUCUUUCUAUGUUGACCCUUUGAAUAACACAUAAAAAAAUAGGAAAUCCAGUGAUGUUUGGGAUGACCUUCUGAAGUACUACCUCAGUUUAAAAAUAUAAGCCUUUUUAAAAUGCUACAUUUUAAAACAGAGGUAAUAGUUCUUUAAAACUCAUCUUUACGAAGUUUAGGUUGCCUCCUUGCUUAGAAUACCCGAGUUCAGCUGAAGACCAAAGAAGAAGAAGCGCAUAUCAGUAUCAGGUGUGCCAAUACGGAGCCUUUUCAAUCGGACCUCAACACUGAAACUUUCUGAGUCAUCUAUGCUUCCUAUGAAGGUGAGCAGCUUUGUGACUGCACAUAUGUCGGCUGCCUAGAGUAUGAAAAAGAACAGCCUUGCACAAAGAGUCUAUCGGUCGGGGUCGGCCCAACACAGUUGGCAAAGACAUCAAAAUCAUCCUCAUUUCCUGUGAACGAAAAUAUGUGAUUUUUCUAAAUACUGAUUUACGGAAAUAUCGAUUUCCCUGCAAGUAGACAUAAUCAAGAAGGUUAUGCAAUGAAUUUUUAGACUUCAUUUACCAAGUGUGUGUCCUGCUCUAGAUACGAUGGAAUCCAGAGAUUGUACUGUCUUAUGUAUGUUUGAUUGUGUAAUGAAAUUUGCGACGAGAUUGAACUUAA
Lolium rigidum is the source of this 5116-nucleotide RNA transcript. RefSeq lists it as uncharacterized. Lineage: Eukaryota; Viridiplantae; Streptophyta; Magnoliopsida; Poales; Poaceae. The record is from RefSeq and is a predicted model, not a curated record. The transcript has 2 exons.